AAACAGAUACCUAAAUAGAAACUCCGAAGAAAAAAACAGAAUUGUUUCAGACUCUGAAUAUCAUCACCAUGACUAUGAUUUCCAUACAACAUUUUCCCUCUCCAAUCUAUCCCAUCCUUUCACACCCCAAAUAUACGCAACAACUAAAACACACAGCUAAACUGCUUUGGCUCACCAGCAAUCAGCCUACUAGCCAUCUUUACAAGUAUCAAAACACUUCUCUGAAGACAAAGGCUGUAACAAAUUCACUUGUUCUUGGUGUCUCUUCCGUGGCCAAGCCCGCCGACAUAUCAAUCUUACUCCAGACGAGUGCUGUACUCCUGUUCGUGUACUGGAUUGCCAAUUUUAUCGUCCCAGAUAUCAUCUUGAAAGAUCUCCAAUCCAAUCAGGCAAGCAAAGACCAGAAACCUAACGAUGACGAUACCUGAGAAGUUGAGAAUGAAAGCAAAUCGGCAAGAAGUGAAAGCGAAAAAAAGGCAAGAAAUGACAUGGGCUUCCUGGCAACUUGAGCUAGUGAAGAUCAAAGAACUUUUUCAUUUCUUCUUUCCAUUCAAAAAACAAAAAAAUCAGAAAUAUCCAAUAUCAAACAAAUGUCAACCCUGAGCUGUUGUUCUAAAACAAUUUACAUUUACAAGUGAAAUUGAGCACAUUUAAACGACUGUCCAAUCAUUUUCAACAGAA
Molecule: non-coding RNA, 681 nt
Organism: Camellia sinensis
Lineage: Eukaryota; Viridiplantae; Streptophyta; Magnoliopsida; Ericales; Theaceae
Source: RefSeq, a predicted model, not a curated record